RNAcentral lists this ribosomal RNA (254 nucleotides) under uncultured bacterium. RNAcentral describes it as "partial 16S ribosomal RNA". It matches the Rfam family "Bacterial small subunit ribosomal RNA", at positions 524 to 776 of the family's 1533-position model. The record is from RNAcentral.
UACGGGGGGGGCAAGCGUUGUUCGGAAUUACUGGGCGUAAAGGGCUCGUAGGUGGCCAACUAAGUCGGACGUGAAAUCCCUCAGCUUAACUGGGGAACUGCGUCCGAUACUGGAUGGCUUGAGUUUGGGAGAGGGAUGCGGAAUUCCAGGUGUAGCGGUGAAAUGCGUAGAUAUCUGGAGGAAUACCGAUGGCGAAGGCGGCAUCCUGGACCGGCAUUGACGCUGAGUGAGCGAAAGCCAGGGGAGCAAACGGG